AGAAAUUUAGCUCAGUUGGUUAGAGCGCAGUCCUUAUAAGGCUGAGGUCACAGGUUCAAGACCUGUAAUUUCUA
RNAcentral lists this transfer RNA (74 nucleotides) under Lactococcus garvieae. RNAcentral's name for it is "tRNA-Ile". It matches the Rfam family "tRNA". From Rfam's summary of the family: Transfer RNA (tRNA) molecules are approximately 80 nucleotides in length. The record is from RNAcentral. Lineage: Bacteria; Bacillati; Bacillota; Bacilli; Lactobacillales; Streptococcaceae.